AGUCGAACGGGAUGGUCCCUUCGGGGACCGGCGAGUGGCGCACGGGUGAGUAACGCGUGGGGAUCUGCCCUGAAGUAUGGAACAACCGCUGGAAACGGCGGCUAAUACCGUAUACGCCCCUUUUGGUGGUUCUUAAGGGGGAAAGCUUUAUGCGCUUUAGGAUGAACCCGCGUCGGAUUAGCUAGUUGGUGUGGUAACGGCGCACCAAGGCAUCGAUCCGUAGCUGGUCUGAGAGGAUGAUCAGCCACACUGGGACUGAGACACGGCCCAGACUCCUACGGGAGGCAGCAGUGGGGAAUAUUGGACAAUGGGCGCAAGCCUGAUCCAGCCAUGCCGCGUGAAUGAAGAAGGCCUUAGGGUUGUAAAGUUCUUUCACCCAUGAAGAUGAUGACGGUAAUGGGAGAAGAAGCCCCGGCUAACUCCGUGCCAGCAGCCGCGGUAAUACGGAGGGGGCAAGCGUUGUUCGGAAUUACUGGGCGUAAAGGGCGCGCAGGCUGUUUCGUUAGUCAGGCGUGAAAUCCCCGGGCUCAACCCGGGAACUGCGUUUGAUACUGCGGAACUA
RNAcentral lists this ribosomal RNA (562 nucleotides) under uncultured Rhodospirillaceae bacterium. Its description in RNAcentral is "bacterial SSU rRNA". It matches the Rfam family "Bacterial small subunit ribosomal RNA", at positions 60 to 643 of the family's 1533-position model. The record is from RNAcentral. Lineage: Bacteria; Pseudomonadati; Pseudomonadota; Alphaproteobacteria; Rhodospirillales; Rhodospirillaceae.